RNAcentral lists this ribosomal RNA (336 nucleotides) under uncultured bacterium. RNAcentral describes it as "bacterial SSU rRNA". It matches the Rfam family "Bacterial small subunit ribosomal RNA", at positions 8 to 334 of the family's 1533-position model. The record is from RNAcentral.
AGGGUUUGAUUCUGGCUCAGAUUGAACGCUGGCGGCGUGCUUAACACAUGCAAGUCGAACGCGAAAGAGACUUCGGUCUCGAGUAGAGUGGCGCACGGGUGAGUAACGCGUGGAUAAUCUGCCCUCAUGACCGGGAUAACAGUUGGAAACGGCUGCUAAUACCGGAUACGCUCUGAAUGAACUUUUAGGGGAAAGACGGCCUCUGCUUGCAAGCUGUCGUAUGAGGAUGAGUCCGCGUCCCAUUAGCUGGUUGGCGGGGUAACGGCCCACCAAGGCAACGAUGGGUAGCCGAUCUGAGAGGAUGAUCGGCCACACUGGAACUGAAACACGGUCCAG